RNAcentral lists this long non-coding RNA (434 nucleotides) under Mustela putorius furo (domestic ferret). RNAcentral's name for it is "lncRNA (ENSMPUG00000026483.1)". Lineage: Eukaryota; Metazoa; Chordata; Mammalia; Carnivora; Mustelidae. The record is from RNAcentral.
GGUUAAGCGAUCUCGCCGGGCAGCCACAGAUAUAAAUACUGUUUGGACAGUUUCAUGUCAAGAGACAACUCCUCUGGGAUUAAAACUGUGUAACCCAAUAGAACAGUUGUCGAUACCAGGAUUAACUUUGGUAUUGUUACUCGGAGCCAUGACUCGCCAUAGGUUUGUUUUUUUUUGUUUUUUUUUUUUGUGAGCGACCCUGUAGGGGUCUAUGCGCAUCGUCCAUCUACAUCAUGCGACACCUACACCUUGUUCUGAGAAUAGUCCAAAUUACUUCAGGCCUCCGGGGAUCCACGUUCCCAGCAGGUGUGCUUGGAGAGUUUACGCUGGUCUUGAAUUUUCAGUCCAUGUUCUGAAGGAGAGGAAGGAAGAAUCCUGAAGGUACCCAAGAUGUCUACACACCUCCCUCCCUCAAGAGUCCGUGUCCACUGGCU